This 253-nucleotide ribosomal RNA is filed under the name uncultured bacterium. Its description in RNAcentral is "partial 16S ribosomal RNA". It matches the Rfam family "Bacterial small subunit ribosomal RNA", at positions 524 to 776 of the family's 1533-position model. The record is from RNAcentral.
UACGUAGGGGGCAAGCGUUGUCCGGAAUCAUUGGGCGUAAAGAGCGUGUAGGCGGCCUGGUAAGUCCGCUGUGAAAGUCCAGGGCUCAACCCUGGAAUGCCGGUGGAAACUGUCAGGCUCGAGUCCGGAAGAGGCGAGUGGAAUUCCUGGUGUAGCGGUGAAAUGCGCAGAUAUCAGGAGGAACACCAAUGGCGAAGGCAGCUCGCUGGGACGGCACUGACGCUGAGACGCGAAAGCGUGGGGAGCAAACAGG